AUUCAUUUAAAAUUAUAAAUCUAUCUUGUUUCUAUUUACUAUUGAACUAUUUGUCAGACUCUAAAGAGCUUUUAGGUCAACUUGCUGGAUAGAUUUAACAGGAAAUUUCGAACCAGAGAAUGAAGUGCAAUUUUAAACCUAACCAGAAGCAGUUACGAAAAAUGCAGCUAUAGGCCUUCUGACAGGAAUCGUGCAGCCCGGAGAUUUCGGAGAAGCGCUCAAACCAGCUCAGGUCUUAGUCCAAUUGUCGUGAUCUCAGAUGGCUGCACGUCAAUCGCAAGGUCGCAGGUUCGAUUACUGGCCGAGGGCAUGUGGUUGCAUUUUUUGUACCUGCUUCUCUUAUAGAUCUAAAAUUGUACAGUAUAAUGUAAUCUUGAACUAGGAAUUCCAAGCAUCUACAAAUUUAAAUUAUUCAACUACUUAGCAGGAAUUUGAAUAAACUAUUGAUAUAUUUAAUAAGAAA
Paramuricea clavata is the source of this 463-nucleotide non-coding RNA. NCBI's taxonomy places the organism in Eukaryota, Metazoa, Cnidaria, Anthozoa, Malacalcyonacea, Plexauridae. The record is from the annotation of a GenBank genome assembly.